AGUGAACGCUGGCGGUAGGCCUAACACAUGCAAGUCGAACGGCAGCACAGGUGAGCUUGCCCUCUGGGUGGCGAGUGGCGGACGGGUGAGGAAUACAUCGGAAUCUGCCCAGUCGUGGGGGAUAACGUAGGGAAACUUACGCUAAUACCGCAUACGACCUUCGGGUGAAAGAGGGGGAUCGCAAGACCUCUCGCGAUUGGAUGAGCCGAUGUCGGAUUAGCUAGUUGGCGGGGUAAUGGCCCACCAAGGCGACGAUCCGUAGCUGGUCUGAGAGGAUGAUCAGCCACACUGGAACUGAGACACGGUCCAGACUCCUACGGGAGGCAGCAGUGGGGAAUAUUGGACAAUGGGCGCAAGCCUGAUCCAGCCAUACCGCGUGGGUGAAGAAGGCCUUCGGGUUGUAAAGCCCUUUUGUUGGGAAAGAAAUCUUUCAGGCUAAUACCCUGGGAGGAUGACGGUACCCAAAGAAUAAGCACCGGCUAACUUCGUG
Molecule: ribosomal RNA, 490 nt
Filed under: uncultured bacterium
Lineage: Bacteria
Description: partial 16S ribosomal RNA
Rfam family: Bacterial small subunit ribosomal RNA
Source: RNAcentral